Molecule: non-coding RNA, 3985 nt
Organism: Xyrichtys novacula (pearly razorfish)
Lineage: Eukaryota; Metazoa; Chordata; Actinopteri; Labriformes; Labridae
Source: the annotation of a GenBank genome assembly
CAGAGGAGGAAGAAGUGCUAAACUUGGAGAAGAUAAAUAAAUAUAUAAAGAUAUUUUGAUAGAUAGAUUGAUAGAUAUACUUUAUUGAUCCCAAAUUGGGAAAUUCUCUUGUUAUAGCAGCAAAAAGAAAAUAUAAAAUUAAAUAUAAUAAGUAGUACAAUGCAGACUAAAAAUAAUAAAAAUACUAAGUAUAUACAAUAAAUAUAGGCUAAAUAUACUAAACAUCCUAAGAGAUAAAAGUGAGAUAUGAAGAAUGUGGGCUAUUGAAAUUAGUAAAAAAUAUGAAAUGAGUAAUAAAUAUGAAAUGAGAAAUAUUACAGAUGGGAUGAUAGAUAUACAAUUUAAGGUGCUCUGUAAUAUGAUGUGAUAGGAGUUUUUAAGAAUGGACUAUACAGCAGACAGGCGUGAGUCCCUGUCUGACAUAUGUGAGUUAUUUAACAGUGCAAUAACUUGUGGCAGGACAGAUUUCCUGUAUCAGCGGAGCUGCAACAGUCUGUUGGUGAAGGAAUACAGUGUGCAGACAUAAAACCGCAGAGAUAGUUAAUGAUUCAUGGUUUACCUUAACCUUUUUGUGUGACUCCGGUGCAAAGAAAACAGUUCUUAGACAUAAACUAUCACAGAUUAGGUUUUCCAAACUAAAGAUUUUUGUCAAAUCAACACACAGAGAGAGCUUGAGAGGUAGUAAUAGCGAGUCAUGGGCCUUGCCAUGUCUCGACAGGAGGGAGGAGUGUAGUAGUUAACCCUAUUGAUUCAUAAAUUAUUUUAAAAAAAAAUAAUAAUAAUAAUAAAUAAAAAAUAAAUAAUUUACUAUUUGAUUUGUUCAGUUUGUUUAAGACAUAAUGCUCAAGACAGUAUAAAACCAAAAAGAGGCAAAUUUCCACCAACCAAUGCAUUAUUUGAAGCCAUGCACAUGGACUUCAUAGAAUUAAAUCAGUGUGAGAGAAAGAAAUAUUGUUCAGUGUUAAUAGAUCCUUUCACUAAAUGGAUAGAAUUAUUUCCUGUUACCCAUCCAGAUGCAUUAACAGUAGCAAAAAUCCUGCGUAGAGAAAUAAUUUCUUGAUUUGGCAUUCCAAAACGAAUCUACAGUGACAAUGGAACUCAUUUUGUCAAUGAAAUAAAUAAAUAAAUAAAUAAAUAAUAAUAACUAGAAAAUGCAAGUUCUGAAGAAAUUGCGAGAUGGAUUGCUCCAGCUAAAAUUGUAAUUGCUAAGCUGCUAUUGUAAAUGGUUUAAGUUCAAAAAUUAUGCGAAAGAUAUGAGAUUUGAAGAUUCAGAAAGGGUUGAAUCAGUUUAAAUGAGUUGAAAUUAGUUUGAAAAAAUUGAAUACUGAAUGAAGAAUGAAAUGAUUUAAAACUGAAAAAAUUAAAAUGAUCAUAAUCUGAAUGUAUAGAGGAGUUGAAGGCUUUUAAAGUUGUGUAAAGAAAAUGUGAGAAAAGGGCCAAUUUAAAAAUUCCGUAAUGUAUUUCUAAUAAGAAAAAUUGGUUCGAAAACCUGGAAUAUCCCGGAAAGGAAGAAUGUUAGGAAAAUUUUGAAUAUAAGCUGGAAUCUCCUGAAGUUUGAAUGGUUUUUAAUACGUUGAAGUAAGUGGAAGGAAUUAAAAAAAAAAUAAAGGUACUGCUAAUGACACCCACAGCAGUAAAAAUAGCACAAAGAAGUAGUUGGAUACAUCUUUCCCAUUGCAAAAAACCUAUAUGGGUUUUAGUUAGGAAAGUCUGACUUCAAAGGGGGGCGUCCUUAUAGUGGGCGUUCGUCUCAAUGUCAGUGAAGAUUAGAUGGUGUUGAAUUCCUUAGGAGCUUAGGAAAAUGGGAAAGUUAAGUAUCUUACUUCUGCUAAACCUGAAACUGUUAAUUUACCUACUGAAACAUUAUUUACAACUUCAGAUGAACUUAAGGAAGGAAAGAGAAGUGACAACAACGAUAGUCCUCACAUCCUGUGUGACUACCAAUCAAAAAUCACAUUCAGCUGUUCUGAAGGCGACCAUGUGCAGAGAGCAAACCUGAGAGACAGUGAGCAGGGGUAUGAAUCACCCAGACGGACACCACAGUUGCUUCAUGUAGUGAAGACACUGAGAACUUUACCAUAGCUUAACUGCUACUAGGCGUUUCUGUUAUUUUGUUUACAAUGGGAUUUUGUGCAUGCUUGUUUUGUCAAUAAACACUUAUACUUAUGUUUAUUAAAGGUACAUCACAAAAUAAAAAAAAAAUUAGUUAACAAAAAUGAUGGAAGAAUAAUAUUAAUAAAGAUAUGAAUAACAUAUAGUGGAAUGCUUCGCAAUCCCUCUCAAUAAAUAAUAAUUAAAAAAAAAAACUAAUUUGAAGUGAACAUGUGGUACAGAUAUGCAAAAAUAUCUAGUAAAAAUGAAGAAUCAGUCUAACUUCUAUGUCUGUACUAGGAAUUCCCUAACCAUAACAAAAGUGUAUGUGUUUUCUGUAGCUGUACCUGAAUGACAGCAGACUGAUAAUAGGGCCUUAGUAACUUUAAUCCUAACUGUUAUAACUUUCUAGACCAGUGUGACAAAUUUAACCUCUGCAGUUAGUCUUAUUCCUUUGUUGAGCCACUCCAGAGUAAAAGAAAUUAGCAAACAGAGUCAGACCCGACUUAUAUAGAUAGUUCCUUGUGAGGUACCAGAUGAGUAUAAACUAGUAAAUCAAGUUGCUGCAGGCUUUGAGUCUCUCGUCUGUCCUUGGUGUACAAUGAACAAAAAUAUAGAUCAAAUCAGAAUCAACUACAUCCAUUUCAACGUUCAAAAGCUAGGUAAUUGGACUGAGGCUGGUUUUCAGGCCGUUCACUCGCAGUUAUCUGUAACAUCCCUGAUGGCUUUCCAAAACCGUAUAGCCCUUGACACGCUGCUUGCAGAAAAAGGAGGUGUAUGUGCCAUGUUUGGAGAAACGUGUCGCACGUUCAUUCCUGAUAACACUGCUGCUGAUGGCAGCCUCACUCGAGCCAUAGAGGGCCUAAAAACGCUUCACAGCAAAAUGAAAGACCACUCAGGAAUAGAUAACUCCUCUUGGGACAAUUGGAUGAAUGUAUUUGGGAAAUACAAAAAAUCUUGUAGAUUCAGUCCUAAUCUCUGUUGCUGUUUUUGCAGCUAAUUUGACCUUGUGUGGAUGUUGUUGUAUUUCUGUAUUUGUUCUCUUCUUAACCGUCUUAUCACCGCAGUGUUGUCUCCUGUGGAGCAGCAGAUGCAGGAAUUGUACCCGCUGCUCCAUCAGCAGGACGAGGAGGACAGAUUUGAUGACACUCAAUGGCCUGACCUGUGCCCUAAUCCAGAUGAUGAGUAUAAUUCUGACUAAAGCAACGUCUUGUACCUCCGUGUGUAAAUUCUUUGUAGUCAUACACAUGAACUCGCAGCUGAAAAUCGAGAGAAGUGGCUGAACUAGAGGGAUUAUGAGAAUUUGAGCAAAGUAAUGAUAAACAGGAGGGAAAUGUUAGAAUAAUGUGCAUAAAUGUAUAUAGAAGUUAUCAUUAUUCCUCAUAUUCUUAUGUAAGAGUUGACUACAAGUAUAAAAACUGUUUUGACCUCUUUUUAUACAUUAUAUAAGAGUGUUUCCUAACUUCUCUCUCCAAUAGAUUUACUACACAGCAGAACAAUGUUCUUUCAGUUUUCUGUGACUGGGUCUUUCCUAUCAGCAGGUGGGGGUGUGUGAGUGAUGGAUCCUCCGCAAUAAAUCGUGGGGAGUUUUUGAGGAGGUGCCGCUGUUAUCAGAAGGAGCUCAUUAGAUGCCGCCUUGACCUUCACAUAUUCACAAGUGUUCAUUAUUAUGCUUUAUGAGAAUGUUUACUUUGCUGCACCAUCUACCACCCCUUUUAGAAACAUUAUGUAACCAGGGACAAGACUAAAUAAAAGAGACUGGGCGGAAAUACCUUUAGAGUGGUUUCGACAUGGUACCUGAAGCUAUCUCGGUCCAUUCUCCUCGAGUAUAUACCAUUGUCUUUCUCUUCUUUAUAUGUUAUCAGGUAAAUGUUGCAGGUUUUAGACCUAACAC